Molecule: RNA transcript, 1986 nt
Organism: Ailuropoda melanoleuca (giant panda)
Lineage: Eukaryota; Metazoa; Chordata; Mammalia; Carnivora; Ursidae
Gene name: solute carrier family 22 member 9-like
Exons: 3
Source: RefSeq, a predicted model, not a curated record
UGGGGCUUCCCAGAUUGCCGGGAUCAAGCCCUGAGCCUAAGGCAGACGCCUAACCGCUGUGCCACCCAGGCGCCCCGGGGAAGAAACUUUUUAUACUCAGUAUCUCUAUGAACAGGAGGGUUGCUUCUGGGAAGAUUGGCUGCUGAUUCACUGUUGAUUCUUUAAAGUUUCAAGCGUCAAAUUUUACUGGAUAAAACAUUACCUAAAUUCCAAAGCCUGCCCUUUCUUCACACUUAUUUUUUGCCAAAGGCUGUUAUUAUUCCCAUAAUCUAACUUGUACCUGUUCCCCAGGUUGGGGAGGUUACUUCUCAUGCGAUGUUUCCCCCAGCUCGCCUUCCUCAUUUCCUGCUCACUGCAGUUCUUGGCUGGACUUUCUAUCAUGACCGUUUUUGCAAACAGUGUUAUGCUCGGUAAGUCAACACUUUUGGCCUUGUACACUUUCCAAGCCUUGACUCUGACUUUGACAUCCCGCCUUUGUUUGAACUUCCAGUCCUGUUUGUGUUUUUGUGUGGUUUUUUUUUUUUUUUUUCAGUUGUAGAACGGACAGUGCCCCGAUUCCAAGCCCUGGGAAUGACUCCGGUAAUCUGUGUCAGUAUUUUCGGACAUUUAAACUUACGAGGUCUGGCUUUUGCCAUUCAAGGCUGGUGUACUUUUCAGCUGGUGGUUUCUGUGACAUUAUUUGUCAUCUUUCUGUCUUUAAGGAAUGAACUCUGUCUUAGUCUUAGAGGACCCUGGGAUGAAAGAUGCAUGGAGCCAGGGAUACAGAAAAAUAAGCCAUCUGUCUUAUCCUCCAUUAUGGACCUCAUGAUGCCUACCUUUUGUGAAAACUGAGUGAUUUCUUCCUGUUGUUGAAGGUUGUGAGAUGCAGAAGGACCUGGAGGCAGCAAAGAUAAAACCUUCCAUGUGUGACUCGGUUCACGCAUUCAACCUGCAUAAAGGAAUCUGUGCCCUGUCCUCUGUGAGACUCGCAACUGCCGUACUCUCUUAUGGCCUGACUCUCCACCUCCGGCACGUGCGGGAAAUUAUUUGCCUGUUCCAGAUUCUCUCUGGCUUCGUCAACCUUCCAGGCAACUGGGCUGGAUUUUUGGCAAUGAAUCACCUGGGCCGACGAGUGAGCCAGAUGAUUUUUAUGUUCCUGCUGGGAAUCUCCAUUCUAGCCAUCACAUUUGUGCCCUGAGGUGAGAAGAGAGCACGGGGUAGAAAAUAGAUUCUCGGCAUUCCGCAGGGAUUGCACGGACCACCAAUCUGAAGCCAGAAGGGAAGCGAGGAUGGUGUUCCAAGGAUUUCCCGAAACCAGUCAGGGGGUGAGCACAGUUUCUGCUGUUACGUUGCCAGGACGAGAAACCCAGGUGAGCAAAGGUCAGCUUAGCUCUAUGAUUGACUUCAACACAUCUUGGAAGUGUCUGGAAACUGAUGCCACCUCUUGCCGGUGGGUUCUCCAUGACAGUAAUUGAUCACUUGUAUUUUGGCCGGUAACACUUUAUAUAGAAAGUGUGGAGGGUCUGGAGCUUGUCAUUGGAUCCCACGGGAGAACACAAUACUGUCUUUCUCGGUUUGGGCUCUAUUUUGUUACUAUAGCUUCAGCGAACAUUUACUCUCUGGUAAGGCACUCAGGUGCCUUCUCUCAGGUCGCGGUAACUGCCGCUCUGGUUUAGGGAUGUCAUCCUGACAGCAAGAAAAUAAAAAUUCCUUGUCUUCAAGGAGAGGAGUCCACGGUAGGAACAAGGCAUUAAGCCAUUAAGAGGCUCUCUUCGAUCUCUUUAACUAAAUGAAAUGAUUUUAUAUAUAACGAAUGGGGCGACCAGGGUGGUUCACAGGCUCCACCUAACUCCCAGCACAGCUGUGCAUUUUACAGGACCCCAGAUCUGGGCUCCGCAUCUCAUACUGAACGUCAGCAAUGAUGCAAGUUUGCUGUCUUACAACAGAGCCCACUCCAGUGUUGUAACGGGGAGAGCGAGCUGCGGGGAGAGACAGAGGGAGAGGGAG